This 2294-nucleotide unclassified non-coding RNA is filed under the name Hevea brasiliensis (rubber tree). The record is from RNAcentral. Lineage: Eukaryota; Viridiplantae; Streptophyta; Magnoliopsida; Malpighiales; Euphorbiaceae.
AAAAAAAAAAAAAAAAAGAGGAAGGUUUAGCCUUAGUCGCUGCUUUGAUUUAGAGAGAUGGAUUGACUCUGGCUUUCUUGAUUGCAGAAAAUUAGUUUAUUUCUAAAAAAAAAUCUAUAAUUGGCUACACAGAAUUAAUUUCCUUUUAAAAAAAAUUUUAGUUUUAAAAAUAACCCAAAUAACAUUGAAUUAAAUUUAAUUAGUAUAUAAAGAAUUGCUUUCUUAUGCAGCUGUUCAUCUGAUUCAUUGGCCAUGUCCUACUCACGUUGGUGUUGUGUCAACAUUAAUAAGAAUGUCAGAUGGCAGUUGCUGAUAUCAAUAAAUGUGAAUUUUCUGCAAAGCAAAGCUUUAACUAUAUAUGACAGUAAAAUUAAUUUACUUACAAAAAUCAAAUAAAUAAAAAAAAAUUAAAUUGUGCAAUUUAAUCACUUGAUUUUAAAAGAGUGUUCAAAAGAAAUUGAUGCUAAUUAAUAUUUUUCAAUUACAUAUUUGUUUGAUUUCUAUUUGUUAGAGUAAUAUAAUUCUUGAACAUAUUUAUAUGUAUCCAAGACAUUGAGACAUGAAUUCAGCCAAUCAUAACAACUUUUAGUUGAACAUAUUUAUAUAAGAAUUCUGCUAAAAUUCUAUUUAAAUGAGAAUUGAACAAAAGACAUUACAAGAUUCUGUGAGUCACUGAGCUACUACUCCAUAGAUUAAACUUCCAAUCUCCAUUAAAACUGAUUUUUGUGACGGUCAAACAGUUUGGAAUGGCUGGUGCCUUAGAGACUGUAUGUGGCCAAGCAUAUGGAGCAGAGCAGUACCAGAAGCUUGGAACUUAUACUUACAGUGCAAUCAUUUCUUUGAUUCUGGUCUGCAUUCCUAUAUCCCUUCUGUGGAUGUUCACAGACAAGCUACUAAUCUUAAUAGGCCAAGACCCUUCAAUCUCACAUGCGGCUCGCAAAUACUCAGUUUGGCUCAUUCCUAACCUGGUUUCAUAUGCUGUGCUUCAAGCAUUGAUUCGUUACUUCCAAACUCAGAGCUUGAUCAUUCCAAUGCUCUUUAGCUCAUUUGUUACUCUGUGUUUCCAUAUACCAUUUUGUUGGGUUCUUGUGUUCAAAACAGAAUUGGGAUGUGUAGGAGCUGCAUUAGCCAUUAGUGUAUCAUAUUGGUUGAAUGUUUUCUUGCUUGGAUUGUACAUGAAGUAUUCUUCAAUGUGCAAGGAUACUCGAUCUGUAAUCUCCAUGGAUAUGUUCUUGAGCAUGAAGGAGUUCUUUCGUUUUGCUCUUCCUUCUGCAUUAAUGACUUGGUAAUGCUUUAUUUAUAUUUCUUGUUCACCCUCCAUUAUUAUUAAUACUUAUUUAGUUCCCUAAUCUUUUCUUCGGCUUGCCAAUUUCUUUAGCCUAGAAUGGUGGUCCUAUGAGGUAAUCAUUUUACUAUCUGGCCUUUUACCAAAUCCAAAAGUAGAAAUUUCAGUCCUUUCUAUAUGGUAUGCUUCAUUAUUCUUCCAUCUGCAUCACUCAAAUAUGCAGAAAGUUUUGAAAAGUAUACUUUUAAUUUCUGCAAAUUAUUUCUUGCUUGCAGCUUUACAAUCACUUAUCUGCACUACUUCAUUCCAUAUGGAUUUGGUGCCACUGCAAGGUCUGUACUAAUUGAAGGAUCUUACAAUUCUUUGCUGCUAAAUUCAUGUAAUUCAUUUUUUUUUUCAUUGAUAACUAUCUUUUUAGCACUCGGGUUUCAAACGAAUUGGGAGCUGGAAAUCCACAAGCAGCUAAAGUAGCAAUUUCAGCCAUAAUGAUUCUUGCACUUGCAGAGGUGGUUAUUAUAAGCAUGGCUCUCUUCUUUUGUCGCCACAUUUUAGGAUAUGCAAUUAGCAAUGAGAAGGAAAUUGUGGAUCAUGUUGCAGAUAUGGCUCCUUUCCUUUGUUUGUCAAUUAUCAUGGAUGGCUCUCAAGCAGUGCUUUCAGGUAAGUAUCUUACCUGCAUAUGAUUUGUUGAUGCAUCUUCAAGAUAUGAUUAUGCUGUCAUUUUCUGGUCUGCAUCAGGGGUUGCUAGGGGAAGUGGGUGGCAGCAUAUAGGAGCCUAUGUGAAUCUUGGUGCCUAUUAUCUGGUUGGGACUCCAGUAGGUGCUGUAUUGGCUUUUGUUGCACACUUGAAAGGGAAGGGCCUUUUGAUUGGAUUGGCCACUGGAUCAUUUGUACAAGCAACUCUACUUGCUCUCAUGACCAUUUUCACAAACUGGGAAAAACAGGCAAUUAAAGCAAGAGAGAGGAUAUUUGAAGGGGAUUCGUAGAGUGGAUAUAUAUUCCGGAAAAUAGG